UCUACGGGAGGCAGCAGUGGGGAAUAUUGGGCAAUGGAGGCAACUCUUCCCAGCAAUGCCGCGUGACUGAAGAAGGUCUUCGUAUUGUAAAGUUCUUUAAUUGGGGACGAAAAAACUGACUGUACCCAAGGAAUAAGCCCCGGCUAACUACGUGCCAGCAGCCGCGGUCAUACGUAGGGGGCCAGCGGUGUUCGGAAUGCAUGGGCGUCAAGGGUGUGUUGGGGGUGUAGAAAGUUAGAAGUGAAAUACCUAGGGCUUAACUCAGGUGCUGGUUCUAAAACUGCUAUACUUGAGAGCAGUAGAGGAAGGUGGAAUGCCUAGUGUAGCGGUGGAAUGCGUAGAGAUUAGGCAGAACAUCAGUGGCGAAGGCGACUUUCUGGACUGUAACUGACGCUGAGGCACGAAAGUGUGGGGAGCAAACAGGAUUAGAUACCCUAGUAGUC
This 443-nucleotide ribosomal RNA is filed under the name uncultured bacterium. RNAcentral describes it as "partial 16S ribosomal RNA". It matches the Rfam family "Bacterial small subunit ribosomal RNA", at positions 338 to 795 of the family's 1533-position model. The record is from RNAcentral.